RNAcentral lists this ribosomal RNA (348 nucleotides) under uncultured bacterium. RNAcentral describes it as "bacterial SSU rRNA". It matches the Rfam family "Bacterial small subunit ribosomal RNA", at positions 8 to 349 of the family's 1533-position model. The record is from RNAcentral.
AGAGUUUGAUCCUGGCUCAGGAUGAACGCUAGCUACAGGCUUAACACAUGCAAGUCGAGGGGCAGCAUGAACUUAGCUUGCUAAGUUUGAUGGCGACCGGCGCACGGGUGAGUAACACGUAUCCAACCUGCCGAUGACUCGGGGAUAGCCUUUCGAAAGAAAGAUUAAUACCCGAUGGCAUAGUUCUUCCGCAUGGUAGAACUAUUAAAGGAUUUCGGUCAUCGAUGGGGAUGCGUUCCAUUAGGUUGUUGGCGGGGUAACGGCCACCAAGCCUUCGAUGGAUAGGGGUUCUGAGAGGAAGGUCCCCCACAUUGGAACUGAGACACGGUCCAAACUCCUACGGGAGCA